This is a non-coding RNA of Ictidomys tridecemlineatus (thirteen-lined ground squirrel), 1259 nucleotides long. Lineage: Eukaryota; Metazoa; Chordata; Mammalia; Rodentia; Sciuridae. The record is from RefSeq and is a predicted model, not a curated record.
CUGAAACGAGAGUACUUAUUAGCUCACAGAUUCUUUGGGCCUGAGAUCCUGCGGCGGCCCAGCUAUGGGGUUCUGGCUCAAGAUCUCUUAAAAGGAGGCCAUGAAGACACUGGGCAGGGUGGCAGGCAUCGCAAAGCCUAACUGGGGGAGGAUCCACUUCUAAACUCACUCUUGUGACUCAGGCGAGUGGCCCCAGGUCCUCACUAGCCACCAGCCUGAGACGCCACCUGAACAGCUCCUUAAAACAGCUCAUCACCUGGUAGUUUGCUUCCCCUAGAAUGAGACAAGCCAAGAGAGAGGCCCCCAGACAGAAGCCACGGGCUUUUUAAUAACCUAGUCCGGAAGUGACGUCACACCCAGAGGGCGGGCAUUACCCAGAAUACUAGGAGGAGUGUCGGAGGGUGUCUUAGAGGCUGCCACCCCAGGAAGACUUUAGGCAAAGUCCCAGCCUCAGCCAGAUGCCACUAGGAGCUCUGGACUAUGACUCACAUCUGGGAGUUUAUCUCACCUCAAGAUGGAAAGGAGAAAGGACCACCCUAAGUUUACACUGAGUUUGAGUGGAGAUGGACUCAGGCCCCUUCUUAUGUCCAACUCAAGUCCUUCCCUGACUACUCGGUGGGUAAGUGUGUGUGUGUGGGGGGGCUUAUCUGCAAGGCUACAUAAAUUUCCCCCCUGCAUUCUUUUUGCAAGAUCCUCUUCACACCAGCUGUCUGCAGCCAGCCUUCAGCCUGAGCUGUCUUGCUCCUACCCCAUCUCACCAAGCCAUGCUCUGCAACCAACUGGGAAGUCACCUGUCCAGUGGUGGGUUCAGAAACCCUUCUGGAACUGCUUUCUGCCUAGCAGCAGCUCAGAGUGAUAGGAGGGGGAAAAAAAAAACCCCACAGGCAAGAUGGAUGCACUAGAACUACAUGCACCCACACGGCUCUGCCUUUGUCCAAACAAGCAAGGUGCAGAGUGACAGGUACACCAGGACACCCUGUUCCUCAGACCUCUUCUGACGGGGGCAAACACACAGGCACACACUCCCAGCGUGUCCUUGUCCCUCAGGCCUGGGCGCAACUGUGCCUUUCUGCCCAUCUGAAGGAGCUCCCUGCAGGCAGCGUCCUGCAGAGCCCCCAGCCCCAGCUGUGCCCGGCUGUGCGCCCCCACCCCACCAGCUGUCAUCUUCUUGAAGGCGGGUGUACGUAUGUCUUAUUUCAACAAUUUCUCCGGUGCCUCAAACAUGUAAGGCACUCAAUAAAUGAAUACUGCUGAACGAA